GGUUUCUUGAAUAUAAAAUAGGAGAUUUAACCUGCCCAUUGAAAUAAAUUUUAAAAGGCCGCAGUAAUUUGACUGUGCAAAGGUAGCAUAAUCAUUAGUCUUUUAAUUAAGGACUGGAAUGAAUGGUUGAAUGAAGUGAUUUCUGUCUUAUAUUUAAUAAGGUUGAAUUUAGUAUUUGAAUAAAAAGAUUCAAGUAUUAUUAAGGGACGAGAAGACCCUAUAGAAUUUAAUAAAUUUAAUAUUUAAUUAAGUUAAGAAUAAUAUUUAUAAUUAUUAUAAGUUUUAUUAGGUUGGGGUGAUUAGAAAAUAAAAUUAACUUUUCUUUAGGUUAAAUAAUAUAAUUAAUUAUAUGAUCCAUAAAUUUGUGAUUAUAAGAUAAAAUUACCUUAGGGAUAACAGCAUAAUUUUUUUUGAGAGUUCAUAUUGAAAAAGAAGAUUAUGACCUCGAUGUUGGAUUAAGAUUAAUUUUAGGUGAAGAAGUUUAUAAAAUUAGGUCUGUUCGACCUUUAAAAUCUUACA
RNAcentral lists this ribosomal RNA (519 nucleotides) under Oxypilus sp. MN154. Its description in RNAcentral is "partial 16S ribosomal RNA". It matches the Rfam family "Bacterial large subunit ribosomal RNA", at positions 1819 to 2600 of the family's 2925-position model. The record is from RNAcentral. Lineage: Eukaryota; Metazoa; Arthropoda; Insecta; Mantodea; Hymenopodidae.